AUGAACUUAGUGCUGAUAGUUUUUGCAUAUCUAUGUUGUUGUAGAUCAAUGGCCCGUGCUACUGUUCCCUUGAACUUUAAUGCGUUCCUAGAGAAAGCUAAGUUGAAAGAUGAUGGCAGAAAUUACACAGACUGGGUCCGUAACUUGAGGAUUAUUCUCAUUGCUGCACAGAAGAAUUACGUCCCGGAAGCACCGUUGGGUGCAAGGCCUGCUGCAGGAGAAACUGCGGACGUUAUGAAUGUUUGGCAGACUAAAGCUGAGGACUACUCAAUAGUUCAGUGUGCCAUGCUUUACGACUUAGAAUCGGGACUUCAAAGACAUUUUGAAUGUCAUGAAGCAUAUGAGAUGUUCCGUAUUUCAAGCAAAUGCCCGAGUUGA
This 378-nucleotide ribosomal RNA is filed under the name Triticum aestivum (bread wheat). RNAcentral's name for it is "partial small subunit ribosomal RNA". Lineage: Eukaryota; Viridiplantae; Streptophyta; Magnoliopsida; Poales; Poaceae. The record is from RNAcentral.